UGGGGAAUAUUGCACAAUGGGCGCAAGCCUGAUGCAGCCAUGCCGCGUGUAUGAAGAAGGCCUUCGGGUUGUAAAGUACUUUCAGCGGGGAGGAAGGGAGUAAAGUUAAUACCUUUGCUCAUUGACGUUACCCGCAGAAGAAGCACCGGCUAACUCCGUGCCAGCAGCCGCGGUAAUACGGAGGGUGCAAGCGUUAAUCGGAAUUACUGGGCGUAAAGCGCACGCAGGCGGUUUGUUAAGUCAGAUGUGAAAUCCCCGGGCUCAACCUGGGAACUGCAUCUGAUACUGGCAAGCUUGAGUCUCGUAGAGGGAGGUAGAAUUCCAGGUGUAGCGGUGAAAUGCGUAGAGAUCUGGAGGAAUACCGGUGGCGAAGGCGGCCCCCUGGACGAAGACUGACGCUCAGGUGCGAAAGCGUGGGGAGCAAACA
Molecule: ribosomal RNA, 427 nt
Filed under: uncultured bacterium
Lineage: Bacteria
Description: partial 16S ribosomal RNA
Rfam family: Bacterial small subunit ribosomal RNA
Source: RNAcentral